This 85-nucleotide microRNA precursor is filed under the name Bombyx mori (domestic silkworm). RNAcentral's name for it is "mir-2807 microRNA precursor family". It matches the Rfam family "mir-2807 microRNA precursor family". Lineage: Eukaryota; Metazoa; Arthropoda; Insecta; Lepidoptera; Bombycidae. The record is from Rfam by way of RNAcentral.
UAAAAGUUAACUUUGUAUGUAAUUGGAACGUUUGCCUACGUAUGCCGCUAGGGGCGCUGAUCCAACUGCAUACAAAUUCGAGUUA